RNAcentral lists this long non-coding RNA (645 nucleotides) under Homo sapiens (human). RNAcentral's name for it is "HSALNT0267311". The record is from RNAcentral. Lineage: Eukaryota; Metazoa; Chordata; Mammalia; Primates; Hominidae.
UUUGGAACUGGGCCAGACUAGGAAAACAGGAAAGAUGACGAACAAAGCUUCCCUCCUUCUGAGGGUUGUUUAUUCCAGUGUUCCUUCAGUUGAGUUUUCUGGGUACACAGCAGCCCUUGGCUUUCCAUCCCAUGUGCAGCCUCUGGCCCAGCACUUAGUCCACUCUCAGUCAUAGAGCUUAUCACACAGACUUGCUCCAGUGCCCACUUGUCCAACUGCCCCAAACUCCUGGAAACCAGAAAGAACACAGAUGUAUCUCAACUGAGUGCCUACCAUAUUUCUACAGGAGGAACUGUCUUCGCAUAAAAGCCCCUCUGCAGCUCCUUAAGAGAAAGGGUCUCUACUAUGUUGCCUAGGCUGGCCUUGAACUCCUGGACUCAAGUGAUCUUUCUGCCUCAGCCUCCCAAAGUGUUGACAUUACAGGGGUCACCAUUGCAUCAAGGUAAUUUUCCAUGAGACAGGAAGACAUUUAGAAGGAAGACUUGCCAAGACUUGCUGAUGGAUUGGAUGUGGAGGGGGAAUGCUGAGAGGAGGAGAAAGAGCCCCAGGUGAUACCCAGGUUUUUGGCAUAUGGGUGAGUGGAAUGGCAAUCAUCUGAAGGAGUUGGCUUGGGGAGACCAUGAUAGGUUCCACAUUAGUUAUCUG